GCUUGUACUGGUUCAGAAAAAAUAUUGCAAUCCAGGCUAAGGACAGGUCUCAUCCUAUCUGGGUUGUUUCCCUUUGCUUCCUGUGCCACAAGCCCUUGCAGAGAACAUUGUGUCCAGUACAUCUGCUGUGCAACAGAACUGUGUGGUUGUAGAGCACGUUUUUACGUAAGAGGAGGUGGCGAACUAAAGUUUUCAGAAUCCCUAUUGAGCACAAGAAUAUUUUUCAUAUUCAAGUGACUGGAUGAGUUUCCUCAGUGUUUAACGUUUGCAGGUUAGAACACCAGGGUUUAAGAGAACCCCGGUGAAGAUGGAGGGAAAAGUCUGUUUACUUUACAUGUAUAGAUGGGAUAUUUGUUUGGUCUAGGUUGUAAUUUAAGUAAUUGUUUAUUAGUGUGUGGCUGAUUUCCAAGGUCCAGCAACUGACAUUUGAGUGAGCAGAGUGAGUUGUUAGAGUGGGAUAGGAGCAGCAGCAAAGAGCAGUGGAAUGUAGGGCAAGUGAGUGAAACUGAGUGGAAAAAAAAAAAAAUCUCAGUGAGACCGAGUCAGCGUUGGCAGCCUAUCUGCUGAUUGUGUGCUCUUUCUUUUCUUUUUUUUCCUCAUUUUCCAUUUACUUUUACUUCUUUGGAGCAUGUGGGAGCUCCACCCCCUCCUUGAAAAUCCCGACUUGGUAUCGUCCGACCAGCUGACAGGCCCAAAAAAACCCCUCCCUGUGCUGCUGUGAGUGCCAAUCAAAAAAGAGUGCUCAGCAGGGAUUACCUUGAGUGACCCCGCGUAGAUUAGUGCGUGCAUGUGAGAUGGACGAUUCUUUGGGCGGCUUAAGCGGCCUGAUGACACGCUUUCCUGGAAUAUGUGCGGCCGCGCUGCGGCCCAGCAGCCCUUCUAAGGAGCUCUGCAAUGGUGCCGUCCUGCCCCUCCACUGCUACCAGUCCCAUGGAGGCACUGGAGGCUAAAUUCCCACUUGGAACACGAGUUAGCUCUGGCGCUCGGCGGAGGAAAGGGCUUUUUGUUGCCAGCAAAUGAGUCUGCAGGUGUGAGGGCUCACCAAGACCUCUGCAGGUCUGCUGUGGAUCCUGCAGCUCUUCUAAGCUGUGAUGAUUUGAAUCCGUGAAUCUGGCUAAUUUGUACCACAUCUGAGUGUCGCUCCAUUGGAUUAGGAUCUACCGAAUUUAGAGACUCAAGCAACACCUCAGGCUUAUGUUCCUCAAAGCAGACCAGUUUGCGUGACAUUGCACUUUAUCCUGCUUAGAGAUGCCACUGUGUUUAGGGAGGACUGAAGGGGGUUGCAGGAACAUGAAAGCAUCACCAAAAACACUGGGAGCAAUUUCUUAAAUGGAGAUGUCUGUGACACAUGGAAGAAAUUAUGGAACAGGCGUUUUACUUUUUAAAGGUUUUCUUUUAUGUGGUGUUUUGUUCAACUCUAAAGCAUUUUCAAAAUUGAGAUUUCUUUCUAUGUUAAAAACGAGAUUCUUAGUUUGAGUUCAUUAAAAAUUGAGGGGAAACACUUUCUUUUUUUUAAAUAUCUUUUUAUUUUUGGCUCUGGUGGUCUUUAUUUACAGUAAUCUGACAGGAUGAGAAGGGGAAAAAGUCAUGUGGCAAAGCAUCCAAGGAUGGAAUUCAAACUCAGGAUGGCGAGGUCUGUGGCUUCUGUAUGCUGGCCGCUUUAUCCGCUGCUCCACGCGGCGCCUGGGGAAGCACUUUUUAACAUCCCGUAAAACCAAGAUGCUCUACUGAACUGCAGCAGUUUGUUUCAUUUGUGACACAGAAUAACAGCAGGAAAUGUUGACCUCGAGCUAUUGACAUGUUGCAUAUUUUUCAUUCACACCAUAAUAAUCGAAGGGUUAUAAUAAAUAUGGUUAAAAUAGAAUUUAAAUAGAAAACCUGGAAAUUGAGAAGUAAUAAAACUGAUUUAAUUAGGCCCUAUUUGAAGUGCUUAUAUGGAAACGGAAAACUGCAGUUAGCGAUUAAUCAAUUACUAAAGUAGUUGACAAGUAUUUCACGAUUAAUCACGAUGAAACCGAUUAAUCGUUUCAGCCCUAACUGAGAAAAAG
Xiphophorus hellerii (green swordtail) is the source of this 2048-nucleotide long non-coding RNA. RefSeq lists it as uncharacterized. Lineage: Eukaryota; Metazoa; Chordata; Actinopteri; Cyprinodontiformes; Poeciliidae. The record is from RefSeq and is a predicted model, not a curated record. The transcript is spliced from 2 exons.